UGGGGAAUUUUCCGCAAUGGGCGAAAGCCUGACAGAGCAAUGCCGCGUGGAGGUGGAAGGCCUACGGGUUGUCAACUUCUUUUCUCAGAGAAGAAACAAUGACAGUAUCUGAGGAAUAAGCAUCGUCUAACUCUGUGCCAA
Molecule: ribosomal RNA, 141 nt
Filed under: uncultured bacterium
Lineage: Bacteria
Description: partial 16S rRNA
Rfam family: Bacterial small subunit ribosomal RNA
Source: RNAcentral